This 73-nucleotide transfer RNA is filed under the name Thermoleophilaceae bacterium. RNAcentral's name for it is "tRNA-Thr". It matches the Rfam family "tRNA". Rfam says of the family: Transfer RNA (tRNA) molecules are approximately 80 nucleotides in length. Their secondary structure includes four short double-helical elements and three loops (D, anti-codon, and T loops). Lineage: Bacteria; Bacillati; Actinomycetota; Thermoleophilia; Thermoleophilales; Thermoleophilaceae. The record is from RNAcentral.
GCCGCAGUAGCUCAGCUGGUAGAGCACAUCUCUCGUAAAGAUGGGGUCGCCGGUUCGAAUCCGGCCUGCGGCU